RNAcentral lists this transfer RNA (71 nucleotides) under Gaiellales bacterium. Its description in RNAcentral is "tRNA-Gly". It matches the Rfam family "tRNA". From Rfam's summary of the family: Transfer RNA (tRNA) molecules are approximately 80 nucleotides in length. Lineage: Bacteria; Bacillati; Actinomycetota; Thermoleophilia; Gaiellales. The record is from RNAcentral. RNAcentral also lists the same sequence under 1 other name.
GCGGGCGUAGCUCAAUGGUAGAGCGGUGGCCUUCCAAGCCAUCGAUGAGGGUUCGAUUCCCUUCGCCCGCU